AAAGCUUUAAGUUAUAUAAACUAAUAACCUUCAAAGUUAUAAAUACAUCAAAUUGUAAGCUUUA
RNAcentral lists this transfer RNA (64 nucleotides) under Adelphocoris lineolatus. RNAcentral describes it as "tRNA-Trp". Lineage: Eukaryota; Metazoa; Arthropoda; Insecta; Hemiptera; Miridae. RNAcentral also lists the same sequence under 1 other name. The record is from RNAcentral.